AUGCCUAGGUCACCGCCUCUAUCUCCACUUCGUCCGUUCCUGCAUACGUUUUGUACGGCUUUGGUAGUCAGCCCGCCGGAGCCCAAGAAUAAGGACAGGGACAUCGGUCUCGCCUGCGUCGUCGUCAAGCGCAAGCUCCUGGUGGAUGCUCUGCGCCGUCCUUGGCGCCUUCGUCCUCAUCGAUAUCUCUACCAUCAUCAGCCUACUCCAUGGCCUGCCAUCAGACAAGUACAUCCACGCUCUCAAGAAGGUGCUCCAAUUCUUCAACCGCAGAAAUACAAAGGAGCCGCCAAAAAAAUGCUGGAACUGGGGGCAAGAGUACCAGAACGGGCAGCAAGUGAGGUGUACACAGCAGGCAAGGAUGGCGACUCAAUGUGGCGAGGCUCCCUGGAUGAUGACUGCAACACCUUCUUUCUGCUGCUGUUCUAA
This 429-nucleotide ribosomal RNA is filed under the name Triticum aestivum (bread wheat). Its description in RNAcentral is "partial small subunit ribosomal RNA". The record is from RNAcentral. Lineage: Eukaryota; Viridiplantae; Streptophyta; Magnoliopsida; Poales; Poaceae.